This is a long non-coding RNA of Siniperca chuatsi (mandarin fish), 3822 nucleotides long. RefSeq lists it as uncharacterized. The transcript has 3 exons. The record is from RefSeq and is a predicted model, not a curated record. NCBI's taxonomy places the organism in Eukaryota, Metazoa, Chordata, Actinopteri, Centrarchiformes, Sinipercidae.
UUAGCGUAGCUGACAUUCCUGCUGCGGAUCAGUGACGAGGACAAAGAAACAGCAUCCAUCAUGUGACAGCUUCACACUCCACCGUCUGCAGUGGGUGUCUCUCACCCUCAGGUCCAGACUUGUCUCGUCAGUCUGGUUCUCGUCUCUUUAAAGAUAAACUUCAUUCUUCUUCAUUCAACCACAAACACUUCCUGUUCUGUCAAAACAGCAGAAGAAGAAACAGCUGCCGCUCCCUGCACACAGGAAACCCUCACAGACCUCACACUGUACCUGGUCCUGGUCCUGAUAAUGGACUUUUUUGCGUGUUGUUCAUUUUUCAAUGAACUCUGUCACUUCUCUUAAUUUUACUGUCACACUCUGCCAUUUUUAACCUGGACCUGGUUCUGAUUUUGGACCUGUACCUAAGCCUGAUUCAUUAUUGGCUCUGGACCUGGACUUGAGCUCACACUGAUUGUACUGACCCAGAUCUGGUCCUCAUUAUCAACCUUUACUGCAACACACUGUUGUUUUUAACCUGAACCAGGACCAAGACCUGUUCCUAUGGACAGAGAGCUGAUCCAGCACCUGACCCAGCACUGUGCAGACUUGGACCUGAACCUGGAUCUGGUCCUGAUCUCACACUGCACUGGUCUUGAACCUGAUAAUUGACCUUGUUCCUAUUGUUCAUUCCUAAAUUAACACAUUAAAACUGGACCUGGACCUUUUACUGUCAUUCACUGUCAUCUAUGGACCUGGUUCUGGUCUGUUACCUGAACCUGGUCCUGGCCCUCUAUAUACAGACAUGUAUGUAUGAUAAUGUUAAUGAAAAGUGUUUCAGGUGGGUGAGUUUGCUGCUCUCAUCCUUCUGUUAACAGUUUGUGGUUCAUUAAGAGAACACAAACUGUCUGAGAGAGAGCUGUGUCCAGGUGUGGACAGACAGACAGCAGGAGAUUGUUUUGAAGAGACAUCAAAGCUACCAGCAUGUUGCUGCUGCUGCUGCUGCUGGCGGCCAUGACGGCUUCAUGCCUACGUGAUGUUUGUACAAGUCCUGACAGCGAGAUGAAGAAGAGACGAAGAAGAGAUAAAGAAGAGAGACGGACGGAUGGAGAGAACAGAUAGACGACAGACACAGAUUAAAAGGCAACAGGUAUGACUGGUUUGGAUCCAAAUAAACAACCAGAGGUCAGGUGAUGUUUCCCAGCAUGCAGCAGGGUGAUGACAUCUCAGGAACAAAUCUGAUUGGACGCAAGGAGGUGGUUAUGAAGUAACAGGUGAUUGGUUCAGUUUGAGCCAUGACACAAUGACAUCAGCACAGGACAAACAGGAAGUUACAGUUUCAACAAAGUCCUUCACCUGAAUUCCAAUCAGACACUCAGAUACUGCAACUGUACUGCAACUGUACAGCAACUGUACUGCAACUGUACUGCAUACACACUACAGCUGUGGUUUGAAGCCACAGUAGCAGCUCUAUGGAUGCUAAUGUCUGCAUGUCUGCCUACCUGCCUGUCUGUCUGCAUGUCUGUCCUCCACUUUGGUCCCGACUGAAACAUCAUGUGAUGAAACGUGCUUCAUCGUUCAUGCUCCCCUCAGGAUGAACUGUAAUAACUCUGGUGAUCCUCUGACUUUCCAUCUAGCGCCACCAUCAGGUCGACAUGUUAAUGUGUGCAGAACUAAUGACAUUCCCAUCAGCUGUUUCCAUCGUGUUUCCCAUCGUCUGAGCUUUUAAUGACGUCAUCUCGCUGUGUCUUCUUGUGCGAUGCUUUAAUGGCAGCGACUGGAGAAUCAGCUCGACCAGCUGUUUACCUCCAUCAGCCAAUGAGCUCGUGUUCUCACAGCAGCAGCAGCGGGUGGAAACAAGGAUUUAUUUACAUUUUGACUACAGACAACCAGCAACUGUGAGCUGUCGUCUGCAUAACUGCAUAUUUAACAGGGUUUUAGGGUGAUUUCAAUGUUCAUUGCUCAUUUCUUCAGUUUUAAAAAGUAGUAAAACAUUGAAGUAAAAACCAGUCCACUACAACACUGUUACAACACACUAAAAUAAAGUAGAUUUCCACUGAUUAAACCUUCUGUUCGCCAUCCAAUCAGAGUACUUUUCUCCUGCUAACAAACAUCUGAUUGGUUUCCUCUCGAUGUCUUGCCUGAACAUUCUGUUUGACCAGGAAAUACGUCACUUUAAAGAAGCCUGAAGCUCUCAGAAUGAUCCCUCAGUGAUCCUAAACAUCUUAUCAACCUUUGAGCCACAAAAAUAUCCUGAUUUUCCAGAGAGCUGUAAACAUCAUCGGGCUGAGAUGCUAUCAGAGCGCGAUGCUCUGAGCAGAUAGAGAUCAGACCGGCACUGUCAUGCCUCUUUAAGAAGACAGUACAUUUCUAUGAGUCGUCCUGCUCUGAUAAGACUUCUCACGGCACGAAAAACACAGAGUAUCAACACACUUGUGUAACACACCAGCACACAACAUAACACAACACAUAACAUGACACACAAAUAGACUCUGAAAUUACAUGCUGUAUAUUAGUGCAGUUUGAUAGUUUUUAUCUUUUCUUUCAUCUUUGUUUCCAAAGUUUUGCUUUUUUGGCUUUGAAGCUGAUAUGAUUUUCAUUUCUUUCUGCUGCAGCUAUUUGUUUAUAGGGGUCCCCCUCCACCCUCCAUCGUCCAUCCAUCUUCUGCCUCUUCUCCAGCUGCAGCUCUUUGUGUCCGCAGCGAAAUCAACUCAUUUCAAUGGAACUUCUGUGAUUCACGUUUUACAUUGAGUUCAACUUCCGUGAACUUUGACCUGUGAAUUUACAUUGUUGACCAACUGCAGGGUUUUUUCAAAGUCUAACACAGUGGGCCUCAAACAAAAUCAACUGCACUCCCCCAAACCCCCACCUCCACAUUUUAAAACUGUUUGAGUUUUGUGUCGGUAUAUCUACAUAUUGUCAACACAAAAAAGUUGAUAUAAAUGGCUUUUUUUACUCCUAUUGUUAUUCUUUGUCUUACUUCUAUAUGCUCUAAGUUUUGGAACAACAGCUCCCAUAAUGCUUUGGGGGAUGUAAACAGGGAGUAUAAUGUUGCCAUGGAGUCAGUGACUUAGCUGUGAGAUACAACUUGAGCUAUUUAGUCAAACUGUCCCCAUCAAAAGUAGAUGAAUCAGCUGUUAGCAGCUCCUGUCUGCAGUGGAAAAACUACAUCAUCUGCAAAGAAGCAGAGAUGCAUGAUGGUUAAAAGAAAGUUUCAGCAUAUUUCAACCUGGCACCUCUGUUAAACAAAAAAAACAUAUAUCACAUAUAUCAGGGUGAGCUGCUAGAGUCUCCUACAGUUUCUGAAUACACGAUUUUUACAUGAAUCAUUUCAAAGGUUCUGAGUCUCUGAGUCCGGCCUAAAGCAUACACAGGAAGUAGCUGCCUGGAACAGCCAUGUUGACUAACUGCAUAGGGAUCUACAUCUGGGUCAACUUACCAGCUGACCUAAUUACUCUCAAUAUUCAUAAGCACACACCAGUUUGUUUAGACUUUCAGCAGAUGUAAAGCCUCUGCAGGUAGCUGUAAAGUUUAUUCCAGGUGACUAGUUUCUGUGUUUACUUUGGGUCAGACUCAGAGACAAGAGUUUGAAAUGAUUCAUGUAAAAAUCACGUUUAUUCAGAAAGCUGCAGGAGACUCAGCAGCUCGCCCUAAUAUACGUUUUGUCCUCGUUUCCCUGCAAGUCAGCACGACCCACAGAGUCACAAUGGACACAUACGACAGGUUAAAUAAACCAGAAUGUUCUUUAUUGUUUAUUAAUGUUAUGUCAGAUGACCCUGUUGUGCAACAGUUUAAUCCAUUAUUGUACCAUUACUUACGGUACAUUAAAGUUAUAAGUCCUGUUAA